GAAGUAGUGUGUCAUAUUGUAUUCUAACAAGGUAAAGCACUGAAUAAACUUAGGGGGUUUAUCCUUACUAAGUAAAAUCAAACUAUGAAUGUGUUAGAAGAAAUUUAUGACAAACAGACAAUUCGCGAGAAGGUGGAUUGUCAAAAGGGACACAACCCAGAUCAGAAGUUAAGGUCACAAAUAAUAUCUAAGUGUAAAAGGGGCAGAAUCUGGAACCCGAAGUAGGGUCGACUUAGAUAAUGAGAAAGUAGGCUUGGAACCAGCCAUCUUAAAUAGAUUACGUAAUAGUUCACUCCAAUAGUUGGUUAGCCCCUAAAAUUUUGAUGGCUUAAGAAAAAGAAAGUCAAUAAACCCAACUCUGAAAUUAUAAUUUGGUAGCAGAACGUUUUGUUAUAGAGUAAGCAAUAGCUAAAAUCAAAAGUGAUAAUGCGAACAUGAGUAAAAUACAGUGUGAUAAUCGUGCUCAAUCGACCUAAGGUUUCCAAUUAAAGGAUUAACCGAAUUGGAUUAUUCAGUCCCUAAAAAUUAAUCGAUGGGGGAACUCAUUUAAGCGCUGCGGGCGUCAGGAAAUAAUAUUAGAUCACAAUAAAGGAUGACUGUACUAUAAACUAACACAAGAGGGUCGAAUUGAUGGUUGAAUUUAUCUUAAGGAACUCGGCAAAUUGUCUCUGUAAGUUCGCAAGAAAGAGAGUCAAAACUUAACAACUCAUUAGGGGUUAAGUUAGAUCGCAGAAAACAGGGGGUGUUGACUGUUUACCAAAAACAUAGCUUCCAGCAAAUUUUAAUAAAAAAUUAAGUAUUGGAAGUGAGGCCUGCCCAAUGAUUGUAUCCUAACUUAAAUAAUAAACUGGGAUAAAGUUAUUUGAUUAAGGACAAUUCAAUGGCCGCGGUAAAACUGACCGUGAUAAUGUAGCGCAAUCCAUAGCCAAUUAAUUGUUGGCAAGUAUGAAUGGCUUAACAAGCGCCCCGCUGUCUCAAGAUAAAAACCUGUGAAAUUGGAGCCGUAGUGAAGAUACUACGUACAAAUUGUUAGACGAGAAGACCCCAUUGAGCUUUACUGGAAAUUUAUAUAAUUCUUUUUUUAUUAAUGUGUAGAUUAUGUGGGAACUAAACAAUAGUUUUGACUUUAAUGAAAAACCACUUUUUAAUAAUUUAAGGUUCAAAAAAAAGUAAAAGUGUAAAGCAGACAGUUUAGUUGGGGCGACUGCCUUCUAAAUAGUAACGAAGGUGUACAAAGGUGAAUAAAAUAAUAGAUUUAGUUUAAAGCCUGACAGCGAGGAUAAUUUUCCGAGCUGACACGAAGAUUUAUUAGGGAUGAUUUUUCGUGGGUUAUAAUGACCCGUUAGUAUUAAAUGGGAAAGCUAACGAUCAACGGAUAAAAGUUACCAUGGGGAUAACAGCGUAAUAUCGUUCGAGAGUUCAUAUCGACAACGAUGUUUGCGACCUCGAUGUUGAAUUGUGGUAUCCUGGGGGUGCAGCCGCCCCCAAGGGUUGGACUGUUCGUCCAUUAAAACCGCACAUGAUUUGAGUUCAGAUCGGCGUGAGCCAGAUCGGUUUCUAUCUACAAUUUGUAAAGGAAACAUAGAUAUCUCUAUUUUCUAGUACGAAAGGACCGAAUAAUUAGUUGUCCUCUGGUGCCCAAUUUAAGGGGAAGUACGUUGGAUAGCCACGACAGUAAAACUAUAUUGGUAAAUUACCUUUUAAGUUAAUCACUGAAAGCAUCUUAAGUGAGAAACUAAAUAUUAUUUUAUGUUUCCAUUAUAUUGGAUCGUUUAAGACUAAAACGUCGAUAGGACCUAAGUAAGUUUGGCUAAGGGUUACUAAACUCUUAUUACUAAUCUAAUUUAAUAAUUCUA
Molecule: ribosomal RNA, 1856 nt
Filed under: Aplysina aerophoba
Lineage: Eukaryota; Metazoa; Porifera; Demospongiae; Verongiida; Aplysinidae
Description: bacterial LSU rRNA
Rfam family: Bacterial large subunit ribosomal RNA
Source: RNAcentral